Molecule: transfer RNA, 66 nt
Filed under: Haemonchus placei
Lineage: Eukaryota; Metazoa; Nematoda; Chromadorea; Rhabditida; Trichostrongylidae
Rfam family: tRNA
About the family: Transfer RNA (tRNA) molecules are approximately 80 nucleotides in length.
Source: Rfam by way of RNAcentral
GCCGCCAUAGCUCAGUCGGUUAGAGCGUNAAGCCCAAGGUCGCAGGUUCGACCCCUGCUGGCGGCA